Non-coding RNA from Myotis lucifugus (little brown bat), 75 nucleotides. The record is from Rfam. Lineage: Eukaryota; Metazoa; Chordata; Mammalia; Chiroptera; Vespertilionidae.
GGUGGUUCUCGGGUAACACAACCCGGAAUCGUGCUCCCUCCUCUAUGGUUCCUGGUGCAUCACCAAAGAACCACA